GAUGAACGCUGGCGGCGUGCCUAAUACAUGCAAGUCGAGCGAACAGACGAGGAGCUUGCUCCUCUGACGUUAGCGGCGGACGGGUGAGUAACACGUGGAUAACCUACCUAUAAGACUGGGAUAACUUCGGGAAACCGGAGCUAAUACCGGAUAAUAUAUUGAACCGCAUGGUUCAAUAGUGAAAGACGGUUUUGCUGUCACUUAUAGAUGGAUCCGCGCCACAUUAGCUAGUUGGUAAGGUAACGGCUUACCAAGGCAACGAUGCGUAGCCGACCUGAGAGGGUGAUCGGCCACACUGGAACUGAGACACGGUCCAGACUCCUACGGGAGGCAGCAGUAGGGAAUCUUCCGCAAUGGGCGAAAGCUUGACGGAGCAACGCCGCGUGAGUGAUGAAGGUCUUCGGAUCGUAAAACUCUGUUAUUAGGGAAGAACAAAUGUGUAAGUAACUAUGCACGUCUUGACGGUACCUAAUCAGAAAGCCACGGCUAACUACGU
Molecule: ribosomal RNA, 496 nt
Filed under: uncultured bacterium
Lineage: Bacteria
Description: partial 16S ribosomal RNA
Rfam family: Bacterial small subunit ribosomal RNA
Source: RNAcentral